This 496-nucleotide ribosomal RNA is filed under the name uncultured bacterium. Its description in RNAcentral is "partial 16S ribosomal RNA". It matches the Rfam family "Bacterial small subunit ribosomal RNA", at positions 28 to 506 of the family's 1533-position model. The record is from RNAcentral.
GAUGAACGCUGGCGGCGUGCCUAAUACAUGCAAGUCGAGCGAACAGACGAGGAGCUUGCUCCUCUGACGUUAGCGGCGGACGGGUGAGUAACACGUGGAUAACCUACCUAUAAGACUGGGAUAACUUCGGGAAACCGGAGCUAAUACCGGAUAAUAUAUUGAACCGCAUGGUUCAAUAGUGAAAGACGGUUUUGCUGUCACUUAUAGAUGGAUCCGCGCCGCAUUAGCUAGUUGGUAAGGUAACGGCUUACCAAGGCAACGAUGCGUAGCCGACCUGAGAGGGUGAUCGGCCACACUGGAACUGAGGCACGGUCCAGACUCCUACGGGAGGCAGCAGUAGGGAAUCUUCCGCAAUGGGCGAAAGCUUGACGGAGCAACGCCGCGUGAGUGAUGAAGGUCUUCGGAUCGUAAAACUCUGUUAUUAGGGAAGAACAAAUGUGUAAGUAACUAUGCACGUCUUGACGGGACCUAAUCAGAAAGCCACGGCGAACUACGU